RNAcentral lists this ribosomal RNA (497 nucleotides) under uncultured bacterium. Its description in RNAcentral is "partial 16S ribosomal RNA". It matches the Rfam family "Bacterial small subunit ribosomal RNA", at positions 28 to 507 of the family's 1533-position model. The record is from RNAcentral.
GAUGAACGCUGGCGGCGUGCCUAAUACAUGCAAGUCGAGCGAACGGACGAGAAGCUUGCUUUUCUGAUGUUAGCGGCGGACGGGUGAGUAACACGUGGAUAACCUACCUAUAAGACUGGGAUAACUUCGGGAAACCGGAGCUAAUACCGGAUAAUAUUUUGAACCGCAUGGUUCAAAAGUGAAAGACGGUCUUGCUGUCACUUAUAGAUGGAUCCGCGCUGCAUUAGCUAGUUGGUAAGGUAACGGCUUACCAAGGCAACGAUGCAUAGCCGACCUGAGAGGGUGAUCGGCCACACGGGAACUGGGACACGGACCAGACUCCUACGGGAGGCAGCAGUAGGGAAUCUGCCGCAAUGGGCGAAAGCCUGACGGAGCAACGCCGCGUGAGUGAUGAAGGUCUUCGGAUCGUAAAACUCUGUUAUUAGGGAAGAACAUAUGUGUAAGUAACUGUGCACAUCUUGACGGUACCUAAUCAGAAAGCCACGGCUAACUACGUG